GAUGAGGACUCCUGCACCUUUGUGAGUCACAGCCUGUCCUUCCCUGUCAGGCCCAGCUGUCACUCUCCUGGGCCUGUCUCAAAGAAACCCCGGGCCAGGAAGGAGCCCCAGAGGUGCUCAGUUCAGCAGAGAGAGCCAUUUCCUGUGCAUCUGCCAGUGGAAGAAAAGCAACAAUCACGGUGCCAGAGGGAGCCCAGAGAAUAUGGAAAGUUUAACGACAGGCGGGCAGACCCUGACUGGCAGCUUCGUCAGUGCAACCCAGAUAACGACAAACGCAAACCUCGCCAUGGUCCAGACACCUCACUCCGACUUCCUCUCCGUGCCAGCGCAGAGCCCGCCAAAGGUCAUGGACAAGAUAGAAUUUGACACAAUAAGACUCCACUCCCAUGUUAAUGCCCCUCCGAUCCGGGCCUGCAAAAGUGAAAUAAUAAAUUUAGGAAAACAAGCAGAA
Macaca mulatta (Rhesus monkey) is the source of this 451-nucleotide non-coding RNA. The record is from RefSeq and is a predicted model, not a curated record. NCBI's taxonomy places the organism in Eukaryota, Metazoa, Chordata, Mammalia, Primates, Cercopithecidae.